Molecule: ribosomal RNA, 482 nt
Filed under: uncultured bacterium
Lineage: Bacteria
Description: partial 16S ribosomal RNA
Rfam family: Bacterial small subunit ribosomal RNA
Source: RNAcentral
GACGAACGCUGGCGGCGUGCUUAACACAUGCAAGUCGUACGGAAAGGCCCUGGCUUUGGUUGGGGUGCUCGAGUGGCGAACGGGUGAGUAACACGUGGGUGAUCUGCCCUGCACUUUGGGAUAAGCCUGGGAAACUGGGUCUAAUACUGGAUAGGACCAUGCUUUUGUGUGUCAUGGUGGAAAGGCUUCUUUUUGGGGCUGGUGUGGGAUGAGCUUGCGGCCUAUCAGCUUGUUGGUGGGGUAAUGGCCUACCAAGGCGUCGACGGGUAGCCGGCCUGAGAGGGUGUACGGCCACAUUGGGACUGAGAUACGGCCCAGACUCCUGCGGGAGGCAGCAGUGGGGAAUAUUGCACAAUGGGCGGAAGCCUGAUGCAGCGACGCCGCGUGAGGGAUGACGGCCUUCGGGUUGUAAACCUCUUUCGCUGGGGACGAAGCUUUUUUUGGUGACGGUACCUGGAGAAGAAGCACCGGCUAACUACGUG